This 460-nucleotide ribosomal RNA is filed under the name uncultured bacterium. RNAcentral describes it as "partial 16S ribosomal RNA". It matches the Rfam family "Bacterial small subunit ribosomal RNA", at positions 338 to 795 of the family's 1533-position model. The record is from RNAcentral.
CCUACGGGUGGCAGCAGUGAGGAAUAUUGGUCAAUGGACGAGAGUCUGAACCAGCCAAGUAGCGUGAAGGAUGACUGCCCUAUGGGUUGUAAACUUCUUUUAUAAAGGAAUAAAACGAGGCACGUGUGCCUUUUUGCAUGUACUUUAUGAAUAAGGAUCGGCUAACUCCGUGCCAGCAGCCGCGGUAAUACGGAGGAUCCGAGCGUUAUCCGGAUUUAUUGGGUUUAAAGGGAGCGUGGAUGGGUUGUUAAGUCAGUUGUGAAAGUUUGCGGCUCAACCGUAAAAUUGCAAUUGAGACUGGCAGUCGUGAGUACAGUUGAGGUAGGCGGAAUUCGUGGUGUAGCGGUGAAAUGCUUAGAUAUCACGAAGAACUCCGAUUGCGAAGGCAGCUUACUAAACUGUGACUGACAUUGAUGCUCGAAAGUGUGGGUAUCAAACAGGAUUAGAUACCCGAGUAGUC